RNAcentral lists this ribosomal RNA (426 nucleotides) under uncultured bacterium. RNAcentral's name for it is "bacterial SSU rRNA". It matches the Rfam family "Bacterial small subunit ribosomal RNA", at positions 355 to 773 of the family's 1533-position model. The record is from RNAcentral.
UAGGGAAUAUUGGACAAUGGGGGCAACCCUGAUCCAGCCAUGCCGCGUGAGUGAAGAAGGCCCUCGGGUUGUAAAGCUCUUUUGUCCGGAAAGAAAAGCUUCGGGUUAAUACCCCGGGGUUCUGACGGUACCGGAAGAAUAAGCACCGGCUAACUUCGUGCCAGCAGCCGCGGUAAUACGAAGGGUGCAAGCGUUACUCGGAAUUACUGGGCGUAAAGCGUGCGUAGGUGGUUGUUUAAGUCUGAUGUGAAAGCCCUGGGCUCAACCUGGGAAUGGCAGUGGAAACUGGGCAGCUAGAGUGCGGUAGAGGGUAGUGGAAUUCCCGGUGUAGCAGUGAAAUGCGUAGAGAUCGGGAGGAACAUCUGUGGCGAAGGCGACUGCCUGGACCAGCACUGACACUGAGGCACGAAAGCGUGGGGAGCAAAC